Molecule: ribosomal RNA, 255 nt
Filed under: uncultured bacterium
Lineage: Bacteria
Description: partial 16S ribosomal RNA
Rfam family: Bacterial small subunit ribosomal RNA
Source: RNAcentral
CGAACGGGUGAGUAACACGUGACCAACCUGCCUCGCACAUCGGGAUAACUGCCGGAAACGGCAGCUAAUACCGGAUACUAUCCCCCUUCCGCAUGGGAGGAGGAUGAAAGCUUUCGCGGUGCGAGAUGGGGUCGCGGCCCAUCAGGUAGUAGGUGGGGCAGCAGCCCACCUAGCCUACGACGGGUAGCCGGACUGAGAGGUCGAUCGGCCACAUUGGGACUGAGAUACGGCCCAGACUCCUACGGAAGGCAGCAG